Tupaia belangeri chinensis (Chinese tree shrew) is the source of this 561-nucleotide long non-coding RNA. RefSeq lists it as uncharacterized. The record is from RefSeq and is a predicted model, not a curated record. Lineage: Eukaryota; Metazoa; Chordata; Mammalia; Scandentia; Tupaiidae. The transcript has 2 exons.
UUGUUGCUUCACUCGUGUUGCUGUUCUCCUCCUCCCUCUUUAUGUUCCCCCAAGGCCCUGGAGUUGCUUUCUUUGGAGCCUGUGUCUGUCUACGCUUUCUUUCCAGUGCCUUGGCCAGCUGGUCCCAGAAAUCUCUCAAUGGCCCAUCAGAGACCAGGUUGGCAGCUGUCACUCUUACUAUGGAAUUUAGGAAGAAGUUUCCUGGAUGUGGAAAUUUCCAUUCUUCAACAGAGCAAGAAAACAAGCGAGCUGCUCUGUUCCUUGUGCUUGUAAUGAACAUCUCCUUUCUAAACAGAAAUACACCUGUCAGAGUCUCAGCCACUCCCUCACCUCAUGCUCACAGGUCCAAAUCACCCUGCGGGCUGCCACCCUCACUAACUGCUUCCCAGUGUCUCUGUGAACAAGACAUGGCAAGUUCUUCCAUGCCCACUGCUUCAUUCCUGAGAGAAUAAGCAUCCUCUCCAGCCAUGGCCUGCCCAGUUGAACCACCACAGAGUUCUUCCAUCAGCCCUGGCCCUUUGUAUCUGAGACAUUUUACAAAACAAAUUCAUUUUUUCUAGA